Molecule: ribosomal RNA, 433 nt
Filed under: uncultured bacterium
Lineage: Bacteria
Description: partial 16S ribosomal RNA
Rfam family: Bacterial small subunit ribosomal RNA
Source: RNAcentral
AACGAACGCUGGCGGCAUGCCUAACACAUGCAAGUCGAACGAGACCUUCGGGUCUAGUGGCGCACGGGUGCGUAACGCGUGGGAAUCUACCCUCAGGUUCGGAAUAACUCAGAGAAAUUUGAGCUAAUACCGGAUGAUGACGUAAGUCCAAAGAUUUAUCGCCUGAGGAUGAGCCCGCGUAGGAUUAGGUAGUUGGUGAGGUAAAGGCUCACCAAGCCGACGAUCCUUAGCUGGUCUGAGAGGAUGAUCAGUCACACUGGGACUGAGACACGGCCCAGACUCCUACGGGAGGCAGCAGUGGGGAAUAUUGGACAAUGGGCGAAAGCCUGAUCCAGCAAUGCCGCGUGAGUGAUGAAGGCCUUAGGGUUGUAAAGCUCUUUUACCCGGGAUGAUAAUGACAGUACCGGGAGAAUAAGCUCCGGCUAACUCCGUG